RNAcentral lists this non-coding RNA (193 nucleotides) under unidentified. The record is from RNAcentral.
AUGAUCUUUGGUAUUAAGGGUGCUCAUAAGAGUUAAAAGGGAAUACAAUAACGCUUGUUUAAUACAAAGCGCAAAAUGUAGCUGCUCCCGCAACUGUAAGAAGCUCGUUUAAGUGAAAUGCCACUGGCUCAAGCUGGGAAGGUCACUUAAGGAUCGGCUCAGCCAGGAAACCUGCCUUUAAAUGUCAUCUCUU